GGCUCAGGAUGAACGCUAGCGGCAGGCUUAAUACAUGCAAGUCGUGGGGCAGCAUGAGUAGCAAUACUUGAUGGCGACCGGCAAACGGGUGAGGAACACGUACACAACCUUCCUUCAAGCGGGGAAUAGCCCAGAGAAAUUUGGAUUAAUACCCCAUAAUAUAUUUGAUAAGGCAUCUUAUUAAUAUUAAAGCUUCGGCACUUGAUGAUGGGUGUGCGGCUGAUUAGAUAGUUGGCGGGGUAACGGCCCACCAAGUCUACGAUCAGUAGCUGAUGUGAGAGCAUGAUCAGCCACACGGGCACUGAGACACGGGCCCGACUCCUACGGGAGGCAGCAGUAAGGAAUAUUGGACAAUGGACGAAAGUCUGAUCCAGCCAUGCCGCGUGAAGGAUUAAGGUCCUCUGGAUUGUAAACUUCUUUUAUAUGGGACGAAAAAGGGCAUUCUUGUUCACUUGACGGUACCAUAUGAAUAGGCACCGGCUAAUUCCGUG
Molecule: ribosomal RNA, 491 nt
Filed under: uncultured bacterium
Lineage: Bacteria
Description: bacterial SSU rRNA
Rfam family: Bacterial small subunit ribosomal RNA
Source: RNAcentral